RNAcentral lists this transfer RNA (75 nucleotides) under Clostridiaceae bacterium. RNAcentral describes it as "tRNA-Glu". It matches the Rfam family "tRNA". From Rfam's summary of the family: Transfer RNA (tRNA) molecules are approximately 80 nucleotides in length. Their secondary structure includes four short double-helical elements and three loops (D, anti-codon, and T loops). Further hydrogen bonds mediate the characteristic L-shaped molecular structure. tRNAs have two regions of fundamental functional importance: the anti-codon, which is responsible for specific mRNA codon recognition, and the 3' end, to which the tRNAs corresponding amino acid is attached (by aminoacyl-tRNA synthetases). tRNAs cope with the degeneracy of the genetic code in two manners: having more than one tRNA (with a specific anti-codon) for a particular amino acid; and 'wobble' base-pairing, i.e. permitting non-standard base-pairing at the 3rd anti-codon position. Lineage: Bacteria; Bacillati; Bacillota; Clostridia; Eubacteriales; Clostridiaceae. RNAcentral also lists the same sequence under 1 other name. The record is from RNAcentral.
GGCCCGUUAGUCAAGUGGUCAAGACAUCGCCCUUUCACGGCGGAGGCAGGAGUUCGACUCUCCUACGGGUCACCA